Vespa velutina is the source of this 1413-nucleotide long non-coding RNA. RefSeq lists it as uncharacterized. Lineage: Eukaryota; Metazoa; Arthropoda; Insecta; Hymenoptera; Vespidae. The record is from RefSeq and is a predicted model, not a curated record. The transcript is spliced from 2 exons.
GUGAUCGGAUGAAGAGAUGCGGAAUACAUUUGCGUCAGACAUCGAUCAGAAUUGGAGAUAUCUUAUUCAAAUCGAAGUUAAAAACGAAUAUAUCGAUGAUUUUAUUUUUAAAGAAUAUAUAAAAAUAUCAAGUAUAGGAGGGACUUGGCCAUGCCCGAUCACAAAAGGACAUUUUCGAAAUCUGAACCCCGCCUAUAAUGUGCCCAGAGAAGGGAGAUGUCGGUCACAUGAAGUUACUAUAUAAUCGAUUUGGCGCAUUGGAUUUCUCAGUAUUAUAAGAAUACUCCGUGCAUCUGAACACUUGCACACAUUUACAAUGUAAAUCAACCACUAUACGAACAUGCUUGGACUUAUUACGACCAGCCACGAAAUUGAUUAGAUCUAAAAUAAUUCAUAGAUCCGGACUUAUUUGGUCAUUUUACGGUCAACCAUGGAAUCAUUCUUACUUAUAGUGAUCCUAAAACAUAACAGAAUUAUACUGGUGAAUAAGAAUCUUUCGGACUGGACUCAUCAGAAUUUGUUGGAGUUUCAAUAGUUCUUUCAAUUGGAUCCGCAUGGAAGGCACUUUUUGAUGAUGAAGAAUCCAUUUAAAAACUCAUAUUUUACCAAGAGAAUCGCAAGUCUUGCUAGUUCCUGAAGAUACAAUUAUAAAAGUAACUUUUAAUGGAAUUAGAUCGCUCAUUAGAGCGGCACUUUCUACAUUUACGGAUCAUACUACUCUACCAUCACGACCAGGCGGAAAUUUGAAUUAUGUAUCCGGAAUCUAACAACAACCAAAUCUGAAGCCAUCCACUGAUUUCUAAUCCAUUAAACGAUUUCCAAUUCUUUCACUAAUCUAUAAACCAAUCAUCAAUAUCUUGCUAUCUGCAAAAAACUUGGAAAAUUCGAAAUCAUCGACAUUGUGACGAAACAACGAUUGGCCACAAUUCUACGAGGAAAAAACCUCAAAGUGUUAUAAUAUUAUAGGUGUUAUUUCGUCUGCAAAUCUUCCCGAAGAUCAGAACGCGUUGUUACAAAGUGUAAGGAUGAGCAGAAAGUUGAUAUUUUUUUAAGGGUUUUCUGAAAUUUCUUUCUAUUUUCGUUUCGUUCAGUAUUGCUUGCACGUGUUAAAGGCUCCGUAAAAUGUAUCAUAAAAGCUAAUUAUAUUUAUUUAUUAUGUAUCAAUAACGAUAAAAGGUCAGUACAGUUGUAGACGUUGACAUUUGGAGAUCAUCAAGUAUGCUUGUUCUUGCGUCCCAAUAUUUAAUGACUUUCGGUUCCAUUGAUUGCCAGAAUUUUCUCAUUACCGUCGACAUUGUUUUUAUAUGAUCAAUUACUACUGUCGCUAUUUUUUAUUGCCUAGGGUUUAAUAUUGGUACCUAUUUAAACCACUACUUAAUCAUUAUUAAAGUAAAUAAAUUCCACCUUAAAAAA